This 1915-nucleotide long non-coding RNA is filed under the name Pongo abelii (Sumatran orangutan). Its description in RNAcentral is "lincRNA". Lineage: Eukaryota; Metazoa; Chordata; Mammalia; Primates; Hominidae. The record is from RNAcentral.
AAAUAGAAGAUUGUGGAUCCGUGGGAACGCAGAGCAGGAAUGCGUGGCAGGAAAGAAUCUCCCAGGGAUUCACAGUUCACCCCUAAGUCAAUCCGUGGGGCCUGAGGGGCAAAGUGUCUGAGUGACCCAGCCCUCAGUCUUGUGUCCGUUCCUGAGAAGGAGGUCAGCCUUACCCCUCAGGAGCUGCAUGUACCAAAUACCACAGAUGGAGGCAGGAGCCUCGGAGCCGGCCCAGCAGCUCUCCUCACUGGAGGGGUGGACGGGAUGGGACCAGCUGCUCAUUCCACGCUGGAGGUGAGGCCAGGAGUCUCAGCUGGAUGCAGUCACCUGACUUGGAGAGUUCAAAGUCCCUAACACAGGGACUCUGGUACCCACAAGCCUGGAUCCUGGCGUGCUCUGCUGCUUUCCUUCAAGCCCUGGCCUCAUCAGACCUCCAAGGCUCCCUAGACAGGGUUAAUUAUUCACGUGGCCUGGGACCCAGGGUUCAUUUGUUUGUUUUUCCCUGACACAGUAGGUCCACGAGGAAGUCAGGAUCCACUGGCAAUGUUUGCAGUGCUGUGUUGAGUGUGGCAACUGGCUGCGUGACGAUAGAGAAGUAAACAGCAUGUCCGGUGGCAGUCGGUUACCACAUAGAAAUUAGGAUGCCCAGUGAAAUGCGAAUGCUAGGUAAGUGACACAUAACUUUUUGAUGUAAGUAUAUCCCAGGCAACAUUUAUUUAUUGGAAACUGAAACUCACAUUUAACUGGCCAUAUUAUUUUUAAAAAUUUGUUUUGUUUUCUAAAUCUAUCUUUUGUUUGCUGAAUUUCUAGCAACCUUAGAUGGAGAGGUGGCUCUGAGAUUAGCAUCCCCACAGACCCACCUCUGGCUGGAGAGACAAAGGGAGAUGGGGUGCUGCCAGGGAGGGAGAGCCAAGAUCCACUUCCACACCGCUCCCAGACCUGGAGCCAGAGGCCGGCUUGCUGAGGGCUGGGGCUCAGAGGGGAGCGAGCGGCUGCUGUCAUGCUGUCUGCAAAUGCUGUGCAGGUUCCCCGACUUUUUCUCGCCUAGCAGGUCACCUGGCCCACACUCUCCUCCCCUGAUCCCCUGAGUGCUCCCCUCCCCCUGCAGGUCCCUCUCCCCUCUGGGUGAACCUGGAUGCCAGCACCCUGUUCUGCCCACCCAGCAUGCAGAACAAAAGCACAAUGCACAGAAACACAGCCAGUAUGCGCAGGGCGGCAGGCUGGCUUCUCACUCUCUCCUGCUGAGGUCUCCACCCCCGUGCCCCUUCCCUCCUUCCCUCCCCUCUCCUCUUCUAUUAGAAAAUGUGAGUGUUAGGGUUGAAUUGUGUCCCCCAAAACAGGUAUGUUGGGGUCCUGAUCCCCAGUCCCCUAGAAUGUGACCGUGCUUGGAGAUGAGACCUUUACAGAGUAAUCCGAUUAAAAUGAGGUCAUUAGCAGGGACCCUAGUGCAGUAUGACUGGUGUCCUUUCAGAAAGGAGAAAUUUGGAUACAGACAGACACACACUGAGGGAAGGUGAAGUAAAGGGGCAGGGAGAAGAUGGCCUGCGACGGGAGUGACGCCCUUACAAGCCGAGGGACGCCUGGCAGUGCCAGCUGACACCAGGAGCAGAGAGUGGCCAGGAACGGUUCUCCCUGGAGACAUCCGGGACACACCUUGAUUUCAGGAUUCCAUGAUAGCUUCCAGAACUGCCAAAGAACGCAUUUCUGUGUUUUCAGCCACCCAGUCUGUGGUAUCUUGUGACUGCCGCCCUAGGAAAGUAAAACAAGGAGUUAAUUCAUGAAGGGUGGGGGAAAUACGUAUCCUUUGAAAUACCACCUAGAGGAAGGGGUAAUAGUACACCCGAUCAUGUGCUCCGGUUUAUGAAAUAGCUGCACGUCACUCGGAAUUUUGAAAAACAAUAUAUUUUCAGGACUC